GUGAUAUACAAUAAGUAUGCAAUGUUGAAGUGUUAAAUUUUGUACAGUAUCUUUGGACUAUGAGCUAUGUACUGAAGUUUGUUAAGUGUGGUAAAACAAUACAACUAAAACGUGUAUCACCUUCACAUUCUUUUAACUAACUAUUAAGGAAUUUCGCUACUCAGUUUCAAAUGAAUAGCUUUCCACAACAUUAGUAUACAUUGCUAUAUGAUAAAUUAAGGAAUCAAAAAAGCAACAAAAUUAAGAGGUCAAUGUGCUUGUUUUUGGGAUAUUAGCCAUAUCAUUGACAAGUUAAAGUUC
RNAcentral lists this long non-coding RNA (300 nucleotides) under Mytilus galloprovincialis (Mediterranean mussel). Lineage: Eukaryota; Metazoa; Mollusca; Bivalvia; Mytilida; Mytilidae. The record is from RNAcentral.